UACCAGCACCCCGAGUGGUCGGGACGUUUUAUUGGGCCUAAAGCAUCCGUAGCCGGUUCUACGAGUCUUCCGUUAAAUCCAACUGCUUAACAGGUGGGCUGCGGAAGAUACUAUAGAGCUAGGAGGCGGGAGAGGCAAGCGGUACUCGAUGGGUAGGGGUAAAAUCCGUUGAUCCAUUGAAGACCACCAGUGGCGAAGGCGGCUUGCCAGAACGCGCUCGACGGUGAGGGAUGAAAGCUGGGGGAGCAAACCGG
This 254-nucleotide ribosomal RNA is filed under the name uncultured bacterium. RNAcentral describes it as "partial 16S ribosomal RNA". It matches the Rfam family "Archaeal small subunit ribosomal RNA", at positions 474 to 727 of the family's 1478-position model. The record is from RNAcentral.